Nycticebus coucang (slow loris) is the source of this 86-nucleotide small nucleolar RNA. RefSeq annotates it as small nucleolar RNA SNORD71. The transcript has a single exon. The record is from RefSeq and is a predicted model, not a curated record. NCBI's taxonomy places the organism in Eukaryota, Metazoa, Chordata, Mammalia, Primates, Lorisidae.
UGUGUGUUGGGGGAUGAAAAUAAGGAGUGAUCCAUCGGCUCAGUGUCUUAGCACAAUGUCGAAACUCAAAUUGCUGACAACACACA